This 775-nucleotide ribosomal RNA is filed under the name uncultured Neocallimastigales. Its description in RNAcentral is "partial large subunit ribosomal RNA". It matches the Rfam family "Eukaryotic large subunit ribosomal RNA", at positions 23 to 647 of the family's 3401-position model. The record is from RNAcentral. Lineage: Eukaryota; Fungi; Neocallimastigomycota; Neocallimastigomycetes; Neocallimastigales.
AGAGAGAGACAUGCGCGCAUAUCAAUAAGCGGAGGAAAAGAAACUAACAAGGAUUCCCCUAGUAACGGCGAGUGAAGCGGGAAGAGCUCAAAUUUGAAAUCUUAAAGGGUUUCCCUUUACGAAUUGUAGUUUAAAGAAGUGUUUUCUGUUGAGGUUUUGGUAAGAGUUCUUUGGAAUAGGACAUCAUAGAGGGUGAGAAUCCCGUAUUUGACCUUUACUUUCAACUUUGUGAUACACUUUCAAAGAGUCGGAUUGUUUGGGAAUGCAGUCCAAAAUGGGUGGUAAAUUUCAUCUAAAGCUAAAUAUUGGCGAGAGACCGAUAGCGAACAAGUACCGUGAGGGAAAGAUGAAAAGAACUUUGAAAAGAGAGUUAAACAGUACGUGAAAUUGUCAAAAGGGAAGCGUUUGACACCAGUGUUGUUUUUCUGAAAAUCAAUUAAAGAACUGUUUAUGCUAAGCUGUUUAGACUUUAUCAGCUAUACUGUUUAGUUUUGAGCUUUUCUUUAAUGCACUUUUCAGUUAACAAGUCAACAUCAAUUUCUUUUGCUGUAAAAAAGCUUGAGGAAGGUGGCUUGAGAUUCGUCUUAAGUGUUUAUAGCCUCUUGCCUAUGCAGUCGGAGAGAUUGAGGUCUGCAGCGUAGAUCCUUCGGGGCUAAAUGCAUUUGUGCUAAGUUAUAGCAUUUUAUAGACAACUUGUUGACUAUGAUUUGUCUUGUAGCUUACUCGCUUAUGUUAUUUUACCUACGCUUAGGAUGUUGACGCAUGAGAUAUACGC